RNAcentral lists this long non-coding RNA (2531 nucleotides) under Homo sapiens (human). RNAcentral's name for it is "HSALNT0352491". Lineage: Eukaryota; Metazoa; Chordata; Mammalia; Primates; Hominidae. The record is from RNAcentral.
UUGAUUUUCUUUUUUUUAAAGCGGGACAUUCUCACUACUUUUUUCACCUGAAGAUUGAAAAGGAAACUCAUUUCAGUUUGUAACAUUGCACUGACUGUUCCAGACACAAAAUGAAUCAAGUCUCCUGUUGGAUUAUGUGGUUAGCAUUUCUUCUCUUCUCUGAUAUAGAAAUUUAGAUCUGUAAGGACCAUCAGUGUGGUGAAGGUCACAUGUACAUCAGAAUUGGAAUUGGAGUCAUGUCAAGAUGUUCUCACUGGCAAAGACAGGAGGAGGUUAAAAUAGCUCCUUGUAGGGCAGUAACCUCGGGAGAAAAAGAACUAAUAGAAAAUAAAUGGCGAGUAUUUUUUUUGAAUCAUUUGUAUGAUAAGCUUAUAAUGUACUUGUCUCAAUGCAGAAAGCACAAGGAAAAAAUAAAUAUGUCCUCAUCACAUUGGUAGACAAAGCACUAAGCACGUAGGUUGUCAGAAAUUCGAUAUCCCUUUCUCUUUUCUAUAUCCUCUACCAAACAGAAAGUUCCACAUACAUCUGAGACUUCAGUGUCUAUGUGACUUGAGUACAAUUUCCUUUUUCAUCUUUGUUUUUCCUUUACUUACUCGUUUCCCUUUAUUCUUACCUGAGAUAUAGAGAAUAAAAAAUAACACUAUAGAAUCAACCUUUUUUUCUAGGUAAUUUAGAAUAAAUUUUCCAGAACAUAAAAAGGAUAAUGAUGGCAUUAUGUAAAUUUGAGACCAAAAUUUUCUGAAUUAAAUUAUUUUUACAUAGAUAAUGGUUCACUUCUGAUUAGGAACAUUAAAUAAAAAGUAAUCUUAACAAUAUGACAAUACAACUUAGCCUUCUUGCAUUAUCUUUUUUAGCCUAAAUAUUUAAUUAUUAUAAUUUGCACAACAUCGAAAUUAUAGUGCAAUUCUUUUCUUUACAAAAUAAUCACAAUAAAGUAUUUUAAUCAAGCAACUGAGCACAUACAAUUAUUAUUCUAUGUCCAUAAAAUUUUUUUGCAGAAAACAUUUAUAUAAGAAUUUCAGUAGUCAAACAUUGAGUAGCAGGAAAAUACUAUUAAAUUUUAAAAACCAAACAAGCAUUGGAAACAGAAAAAUGGAUACGAAGAGAAGCAAGUAUUCUCCUGUAUUUAUAAUUGUGGUACUUUACAAUAUAUGUAAUAUAUCUUUAGAAAGAUUAAUUGUCUUUUAUUCUCACAGAAAUUCUAUGAGCCAGGCAGAGGAACUGUUUUUGUUCCCAUUUUACUUCUGUAAAAACUGAGUCUCAAAAUAACUGCUCCCCAGAAGUAUAGAAUGAUUAAAGGUCAGAAACAGAGCCUGCAUAUUUUCAUAUUUGUUACACUUUUUUAGCUAUUGUUGUCCAAGAGUACUCUUACUUUUGAGAUACUUUCUUUAUUUCACUGUUCAGAAUUUUUAUAUUUGUAUGAUUUAACAAAAUAAUUGGUAAAUUUCAUUUUUGGGGAUUAAAAAUUAGGUUGUGGAAGCUACAUUAGGUUGUGGAAGUUGUGCCCCAUCUGAGACAAAUCUUGGAUUAAUCAGUGAUUGAUUAAAUUAUUGAAAGUUUAGUUAUUCAAAGAAAUUGGCAUAGAAGUACAUUAAGCUAAGCUUUAUCUGGUAAGAUGGAGAACUAACAUGAUGUGGGCUUCUUUCUGUGACCACAACCCUGGAAAUGACACAGAAAUCAGCAUCUAAUACUAAAAGAUGUGAGAAACCUUUGCAGUUACAAACUACAGUAAAGUCUGCGAGUAGAGAAAAAAAUGACAGCAAAGAGCAGAAAACUGAGAUGUAAGGAAACCAGAAUAUGCUGGGGCGGAAGUUUUUAGUGGUCAUCAUUCCUUUUCAUUGCAUUCCUGUAUUUUUUUCUGCUCUUUCAAUAGUUAGAGUACCCACAGUGUGCAAGGCACUCUUCUAAAUACUGAGAAUACACUACAGAGCCAGAAAGACAAAACUUUGACCAAAUGGAGCUCCCAUUCUAGCAAAACUAGAGUUGAAAAGAGACCACUGCUAACUCCUUUAAAGCCAUUUUGGAGUCGGCCAGGCAGAAUAUGACUCAACCUAGCUUGGAAAAUGAGGAAAUAGUGACAAAUGCAGAAAGACCAUCUGAACCCUAGGCAUUCUCCUCUAACCCAGCUACUCCAUACAAUGAGUGUUAGGAUGGUGAUUAAAACUGAGGGAGACCAGUCUUGGUAAACAGCACCACCCAGGACACGUGAAUACACCAACUUUUAUGGAGGAGGAAGGCAAACAAAGGGUGGCAGAAUCCAGUUAUUUCCUAAGGAGUCCUUCAUUCUAAACACUUCUGGUGGGUCAAUCUUGAGCCUGAUUUUAGUGCCAUGUAUUCUUAAUCAGCAUAAUAAAUCUUACUAGGAAAAAAUAGGCCUCAAAGGAAUUCAAUGACUCUAAAAUAAAAUACAUGUAUAUCAAAGACAACCAGAUUUACAAAAAUUAACAAUAGUUUAAAAUAUGUGACCAUAUGUGGUGGUUUACAUCUGUAAUCCCAGCACUUUGGGAGUCCAAGACAGGAGCAUUGCUUGA